Molecule: non-coding RNA, 84 nt
Filed under: Desulforamulus ferrireducens
Lineage: Bacteria; Bacillati; Bacillota; Clostridia; Eubacteriales; Peptococcaceae
Description: Desulfotomaculum ferrireducens ZTP sequence
Rfam family: ZMP/ZTP riboswitch aptamer (pfl RNA motif)
About the family: Previously known as pfl RNA. ZMP is also known as AICAR.
Source: Rfam by way of RNAcentral
AAGCAGUUACAUGACUGGCGGAUAAAAUGUGGAGUACCACAAAGGAUUGUAACUGUUGCUAAGCCGACCGCCUGGGCAAUAACA